Hyla sarda is the source of this 838-nucleotide long non-coding RNA. RefSeq lists it as uncharacterized. The transcript has 3 exons. Lineage: Eukaryota; Metazoa; Chordata; Amphibia; Anura; Hylidae. The record is from RefSeq and is a predicted model, not a curated record.
CUGGAAGUAAUGCGAUUUUUAAAUAGACAUAAUUUACAAAUCAGUUUUUGGCACCAGUUGAUUUGAAAUUUUUCAAAUACCCCUUAAUAUCUCUAGGGUUAAUAGAUAAAAAAAAAAAGUACAUUUGUGCUUAAAUACCUGCAGCAUCCACUUGUGAAAGCUGAGGAGCUGUUUAUACAUUAAACUCAAUACUGUAUGCAAUAAGCUAUAGAGGGAAAAAUGUUAACUUUAUUGUAGCAAAACCCUGACUCUUCAUAGACAAAAAUAUAUACUAUGAAAAAUAAUUGACAUCAAAUAUAUACUGUAGAGCAAUUAAAAUGAAUUAUGUUUUAAGAGUACCUGUCCCCACCAAUUUUUGUAAUAUUUUUUAAUGCAUUAGAAACAACUUUCAAUCGCGACACUCGCUCCUCCCCAUAGGGAUUGAGGAAGUGCAGACAGAGCCCUGUGCAGAAGGGAUGAGGUGCCAGUGACCGGACCUGCUCCUACUGCUGACUGCGGGGGACACCAGGGAGGAGACAGGUAAAUGGGAUAAGCCACAUGUGAGAAUCCUCAAUGGAGAUGUUCACACCAUCAAUGAGCCUGCAAAACAAACAAAAAAAAGCUCAGGAAAAGAGUAGCUCUCGAAUAGAAGAUGCAGGUGGUACCAGUGAUCGGGAUUAUGGAUGUCAAUCCAAUAUAGAGAAAAAAUAUCGCAGCACUUUCCAACAGGGUGAAAAACAGAAAAAACUGUGUUAUUUACCCAUACGUAAUGACAAAAAUGGCAACCCUCUCACACACUCCGAAGCUCGUGCCCAGCACCGUGCGACUCCAUGUACUCAGCAUUUAGGACAAAUUUCAU